This 327-nucleotide ribosomal RNA is filed under the name uncultured eukaryote. Its description in RNAcentral is "partial 18S ribosomal RNA". It matches the Rfam family "Eukaryotic small subunit ribosomal RNA", at positions 1470 to 1796 of the family's 1831-position model. The record is from RNAcentral.
CCCUUAGAUGUUCUGGACCGCACGCGCGCUACACUGACGAAUGCAACGAGCUUAUAACCUUGGCCGAAAGGUCUGGGUAAUCUCCAAAUUUCGUCGUGAUGGGGAUAGAUUAUUGCAAUUAUUAAUCUUCAACGAGGAAUGCCUAGUAAGCGCAAGUCAUCAGCUUGCGUUGAUUACGUCCCUGCCCUUUGUACACACCGCCCGUCGCUCCUACCGAUUGAAUGGUCCGGUGAAGCGCUCGGACCGCGGCCUCUUGACGGUUCGCUGUCGAUUGGCUGUGGGAAGUUCGUUAAACCUUAUCAUUUAGAGGAAGGAGAANUCGUANCA